UCCGGACGAAGAGAUUUUGAUCCUCGAUAGAUUCGAGCCACACACCAAGGCGGAGGUUAAUUUUUUUCGACGUUUUGUACUGGUUGGCACGGCCGGGGUGACAGCGAUGCGCAGAUUAUUCGUGUUGAAUUAAGAUGUGCGUCUAAUUUAGCACGUCAUGAUCGUGCGUUUCGCGGUUACCACUUUGGAAUGUCGCGAACUGCAUAUUGCAUUGCAUCUCGGGGUGAGAGAUAUGUCUCCAACUCUCCAUGGCACCCGUACGUGCGAUAUUUUUCUCCUGAACGGCGGUACUACUUUAGAACGCUAACGUCCAAGGGCUACAACGAAGGCAAACUUAGAGUAUCAUUUUUUUUUACAGCGAACGUAGAGUUUUUUUUUUUUGACGGCAUAAAACCUCUUGAUUGAUUGAUUCGGAACAAUAGUUACAUCCGGAUAAGAAAAGGUUGAAUGCUAGCGGGGGGAGCUAAACCAAGAAUAAAUUAGCUCAUAUUUCGUCAAUUGUGCUAACUCAUGAGUUACAAAAUUAGACUAUCGAAAACAAUGAGAAAUUUCAAAUUGAGAUAAACCCUCAAUGAUACUAAAACAGUCCUCAUAUAUAGCGUCCGCCGUGCUCAGAGAAUGGCUACCAGAGGAAAUUGCCUGGAGAACAUCAGAGGAAUCAGAGUUCACGAUCACCCGGAAGCACCUAGAGAGAGUUGCCAGUUCAAUCCCGAUAUGGACGGCGUGAGCUUCGGCUGCUUCCACGUCCCCAACCAAGUCAGUUUUCCACGUGGCAGUAGAGAUAAAAUUCCCAUGAUAGUCCCGGAUCACAGCCCUGUUGAAGCCCGUAAAGUAUCUG
Molecule: long non-coding RNA, 838 nt
Filed under: Brachypodium distachyon (stiff brome)
Lineage: Eukaryota; Viridiplantae; Streptophyta; Magnoliopsida; Poales; Poaceae
Description: long non-coding RNA (BDIS_LNC001917)
Source: RNAcentral